CAGCCGCCGCGGGAAUACGGAGGGUGCAAGCGUUAAUCGGAAUUACUGGGCGUAAAGCGUGCGUAGGCGGUUCGUUAAGUCUGUUGUGAAAGCCCCGGGCUCAACCUGGGAAUGGCAAUGGAUACUGGCGAGCUAGAGUGUGUCAGAGGAUGGUGGAAUUCCACGUGUAGCAGUGAAAUGCGUAGAUAUGUGGAGGAAUACCGAUGGCGAAGGCAGCCCCCUGGGAUAACACUGACGCUCAUGCACGAAAGCGUGGGGAGCAAACAGGAUUAGAUACCCCGGUAGUCCCUGUCUCUUAUAC
This 301-nucleotide ribosomal RNA is filed under the name uncultured bacterium. RNAcentral describes it as "partial 16S ribosomal RNA". It matches the Rfam family "Bacterial small subunit ribosomal RNA", at positions 509 to 807 of the family's 1533-position model. The record is from RNAcentral.